Molecule: ribosomal RNA, 431 nt
Filed under: uncultured bacterium
Lineage: Bacteria
Description: partial 16S ribosomal RNA
Rfam family: Bacterial small subunit ribosomal RNA
Source: RNAcentral
CCUACGGGUGGCAGCAGUGAGGAAUAUUGCGCAAUGGGCGAAAGCCUGACGCAGCGACGCCGCGUGGAGGAUGAAGGCCCUCGGGUUGUAAACUCCUGUCAGUGGGGAAACGGUACCCACUGAGGAAGCUUCGGCUAACUACGUGCCAGCAGCCGCGGUAAGACGUAGGGAGCAAGCGUUGUCCGGAAUUACUGGGCGUAAAGAGCUCGUAGGCGGGAGCGUGCGUCCGAGAGGAAAUCUCAAGGCUCAACUUUGGGGCUUUCUCGGAUACGGCGCUUCUUGAGGGUAAGAGAGGAAAGUAGAAUUCCCGGUGUAGCGGUGAAAUGCGUAGAUAUCGGGAGGAAUACCAGUGGCGAAGGCGACUUUCUGGUUCUCCUGACGCUGAGGAGCGAAAGCGUGGGGAGCGAACGGGAUUAGAUACCCUUGUAGUC